RNAcentral lists this non-coding RNA (27 nucleotides) under Homo sapiens (human). The record is from RNAcentral. Lineage: Eukaryota; Metazoa; Chordata; Mammalia; Primates; Hominidae.
UGAAGUGAUCCUGUUGGACUUUGAUGG